This 253-nucleotide ribosomal RNA is filed under the name uncultured bacterium. RNAcentral's name for it is "partial 16S ribosomal RNA". It matches the Rfam family "Bacterial small subunit ribosomal RNA", at positions 524 to 776 of the family's 1533-position model. The record is from RNAcentral.
UACGGAGGGUGCAAGCGUUAUCCGGAUUCACUGGGUUUAAAGGGUGUGUAGGCGGGCUAUUAAGUCAGUGGUGAAAUCUCAGGGCUCAACCCUGAAACUGCCAUUGAUACUAUUAGUCUUGAAUAUCGUUGAGGUUGGCGGAAUAUAUCAUGUAGCGGUGAAAUGCAUAGAUAUGACAUAGAACACCAAUUGCGAAGGCAGCUGGCUACACAAAUAUUGACACUGAGGCACGAAAGCGUGGGGAUCAAACAGG